UGUGUAGAGAUGGGAAAUAUGCUGUGUUUUCUCUUCUGGUAAAUUUCUUGCCUCUCACAGU
This is a microRNA precursor of Monodelphis domestica (gray short-tailed opossum), 61 nucleotides long. Ensembl annotates it as mdo-mir-7398b. The record is from Ensembl. NCBI's taxonomy places the organism in Eukaryota, Metazoa, Chordata, Mammalia, Didelphimorphia, Didelphidae.